GGGCGCAAKYCUGAUGCAGCCMUGCCGCGUGUAUGAAGAAGGCCUUCGGGUUGUAAAGUACUUUCAGCGGGGAGGAAGGGAGUAAAGUUAAUACCUUUGCUCAUUGACGUUACCCGCAGAAGAAGCACCGGCUAACUCCGUGCCAGCAGCCGCGGUAAUACGGAGGGUGCAAGCGUUAAUCGGAAUUACUGGGCGUAAAGCGCACGCAGGCGGUUUGUUAAGUCAGAUGUGAAAUCCCCGGGCUCAACCUGGGAACUGCAUCUGAUACUGGCAAGCUUGAGUCUCGUAGAGGGGGGUAGAAUUCCAGGUGUAGNCGGUGAAAUGCGUAGAGAUCUGGAGGAAUACC
Molecule: ribosomal RNA, 346 nt
Filed under: uncultured bacterium
Lineage: Bacteria
Description: bacterial SSU rRNA
Rfam family: Bacterial small subunit ribosomal RNA
Source: RNAcentral